Chinchilla lanigera (long-tailed chinchilla) is the source of this 507-nucleotide long non-coding RNA. RefSeq lists it as uncharacterized. The transcript is spliced from 5 exons. NCBI's taxonomy places the organism in Eukaryota, Metazoa, Chordata, Mammalia, Rodentia, Chinchillidae. The record is from RefSeq and is a predicted model, not a curated record.
AACUGAUCAUACUUACCUAUUGCUGGGGCGUCUUUGCUGCUUAUUCACAGUGCCUACGUGAGGACUUCUAAAAUCACCCAAACUUUCUUGGAUCAUCUAAAAAUGAAAAUCAUCAAAAAUCCUGAUGGUGAGGCUAUCGCCAAACAACUCAGUGACAUUACUGCAGGUCUUCUGUCAGAGACACGGGCUUGACAUUCCCUGGAGACACACCAUACAUUCCCUUCUUGUGAAAUCUGAGCUGUGGUUUUGAGAAUACCUCUUCCCAAGUUGGGUGAAGAGUGAAAAAGAAGAACUCUGCACCUCUGAUGUUCAUCCCAUGAAGAUGUCUCUCUCCCUUCCCUCCUUACAACUCCUCUCUCUCAAUGUGGCAAGCACACGCCAUCCUGGCAAUAUACUUAUGCACAACUGACUGUAAAAUGAGGUAAUGUGUAAUACUAUGCUAGAAGUUGACAUUACAGCAGGGAAGGGCCCAGAGUCCACUGAGGAGAGGUCAUAUUAUGUCAAUAA